CUUUAACAGCUGAAUUCUUUGUGGUUAAACCAUUUUGUAAAGGUUUCUUCUCUUGCUAAGACAGAUAAACGAAAUCAGAAUGAGAAUUGCACCCACUGUUCUAGCAGUGCACUGUGAACUUGAGAUUUCUGUGUAAUGUAUGGUUUGUGGGACUCUGUGUCACCUUCU
Molecule: non-coding RNA, 168 nt
Organism: Cyanistes caeruleus (blue tit)
Lineage: Eukaryota; Metazoa; Chordata; Aves; Passeriformes; Paridae
Source: RefSeq, a predicted model, not a curated record